UACGUAGGAGGCGAGCGUUGUCCGGAAUCACUGGGUGUAAAGCGCGUGUAGGCGGCCUGCCAAGUCUGCUGUGAAAGCGCCGGGCUUAACCGGGCGAGGUCGGUGGAAACUGGCGGGCUGGAGGUCGGUAGAGGGGGGUGGAAUUCCCGGUGUAGUGGUGAAAUGCGUAGAGAUCGGGAGGAACACCAGUGGCGAAGGCGGCCCCCUGGGCCGGGCCUGACGCUGAGACGCGAAGGCGCGGGGAGCGAACGGG
RNAcentral lists this ribosomal RNA (253 nucleotides) under uncultured bacterium. RNAcentral's name for it is "partial 16S ribosomal RNA". It matches the Rfam family "Bacterial small subunit ribosomal RNA", at positions 524 to 776 of the family's 1533-position model. The record is from RNAcentral.